This is a long non-coding RNA of Equus asinus (donkey), 4599 nucleotides long. Lineage: Eukaryota; Metazoa; Chordata; Mammalia; Perissodactyla; Equidae. The record is from Ensembl.
UUCUUAAAAGAUACAAAGUUUUAUUAAACAAACCUGGAAUCAAUAGUCUUAUUACAUAAAUUAGACAGCAGUAAAAUUUUCCUAGAGUAUAUAUACAAAUCACAGUGAUUUUCAUUGUGCAAGGAAUUGACAGGAAUAGAAACAGGCUUUUUUUCUUCUUCCACAUGAGAAGCUGGGAUCACCCCGCAGGGACCCAUCCCAGGGGUGCACCACACCUGCAAAGGCACUCCAUCUUGUGUCUGUGACACACCCGACAGCAGUCACAUGGCCCUGGAGGUGCGUGGGCAACUGGGCCAGGCUGCCCAUAGUACGGCGCAAAAACGAAGGAAGCUGUGACAGCUCUGCAGAGCUGAGAAACAGUCUCAGAGGACAAGGGAAGACUGCGUGUCCAGUGGCUUCAAAUCCCAUCUGGUAAAACACACACUUAAUGACUUUUACUUAAAUAACAAGUGUCCACCACAGAAGAUCAAACACAAGCGCAACAGAAUAUCUUAAAACACAAUAAUUUAUAGCAAACUGUUACAGAGCAUUUCUCCUUUAUUAUGAAGGACUGUUCCCUUGGAUGCAAGCCCACAGGGUGUGCAAAGCACACUUGCUAUGAAGACGUUGUGGUGGGUAAAAACAACCCUCAAACACCCCACCUCCACCAAGACACACACACGCGCACACACACGUCCCCCAAACGAGCUAUCCAAAUACAUUAUUAACACAACUAUUCAUGUGCUUUCCUUUUAGUUUUUUGGUAAGUGGACAUCAUCAACUCAACCUGGAUUUAUUCAGAAACGGGGACACACGGUGCAAUACACGGAACUUGCCCAACGUGUGUAAAAUACACGUUAGGGAGAUGGACCAACGAGAGAAGCACAAUCUACGUGUCUCUACAGAUCUCUACAAUUGGAGCAAUCAAGGGCUUCUGUGAUGGUGUUAAUUUGGGGAUGCAAAAUGAACUGGCCGGAAAAAAAAAAUCCACCCAAUUCUUUUCCUGCACUAGUAGCUGGAGUGAGGAUUUUGAUGUCCUAAUGGGAUCUGACGCAGCCUGAAGUGCUCACAUGGGUCAGCAGCCCUUGGUGCCUAAAGAAUGGUGCACUGGGGUCUUUAGUUAACAGCAUUGAGCCAUAUUUUCACAGUUCAAGUGGUCCAAAAUCUAGAGGCAACUUAGGUCAACGUAGAAAUGGCAAAUGCAUCCCACAUAACUCAACUGUUUAGCACGACUGGUGAUUCUGUCAUUGGUAACAAGUUAGACUUUAAGUAUAGAUGCCUAGAAUGAAACAAAACAUACUAGAUACUUAUGAACAGGUGAUGCGGAACUGCUCCACAGGCAGAGAUAGGAAGCAGAGUUUUAAAUCACUGAGAUGGCGUGAAGUGGGCACGCGUAUCUUGUUGCUGGGGCUUCUUGCAUAUUCUGUUGUGUUGACAGCAGAAAUCAUGAUUUGCCCGUUGCUGCAACAGAUACGUUUACGCUGAGCAGGAUUCUGACUUCUGCCAUGGAGGAAGUGGAAGUCAGCAAUGCAAAUUGUAUGAUAUGCUGUACGACCAGGGUGAUUUUAUUUCCUUCUUAUCUUUACAGACGCACAUCAAAGCAGGCUUGUGACAUUCCCCUUAGGAAAACAUGACCCGCCUCAGUAUACUACUUCUUGCAAAAUAUGCAUUGCCUAAACAUUUUUUUUAAAUAGUGUUCUUAUUUAAGAAAACUGCCAACACACAAAAUUGCAUAAAACAAAUCUGUAAUUUUUUAGAUCUGAAUUUUGUGAUUAUUUCCAUGAACUUUCUUCAAAGCUUUGCACACUGAUGAUAUUUGAUCAGAUACAUGAAAAUUUCAGAAUGUCUCCACUGAAUAACUAUUUUUCAAUUACAUGUGGUGACUGUUUCAUGUGUUUGGGACUCAUUUUGAUUAAACCAGUCUUUGCACUAUAUCACACCACUUAAUUUAUAGCCCAGCCAUGGGCAGUUAACACACGGCAUGUACCACUUUGCAUAGUGAAAUGGGCACAAUCGUCCAAGGUGAAUUUAACACCAUUAGGUAUUCUUGGAAUUCCUUUUAAUUUUUACUUUGUUUUACAUGGCCGAUGGCUUAUGACAACAUUUUUAAGGAUUACAUUAAUGUAAUCAAUGCAUUCAAACAUUUGUUUUUCCUGCAUAUUUGUUCAAAAUUAAGGCAAUGUAUCUCAAGGCUUUCUUGAUGCUAUUUUCAUCUCAUAUAUUAAAUUAUGGACAGUAAGAAUUAAAUCUAAAAAUAUGCAUAUGGGUCCAUGUGUCUAUGUACAAUGUUUCAUUGCAUUCAAGGUGUUUCAUUUAUUUUUUAUUUUUUUAAGCAGAAGCCUCCACAAUAAUGAUAAUUUAUCUUUAUAGUGAGAGGAUGUGAAACAUGUUUUUUUCCUUCUAGGUCCAUACCUCAGUGCACAAAGUCACUUUGCCAAUUUAUCCUUCUAACGUUCAAUAAUGAAAUCAUUCAGAAAUCGCACUCUAAAUUUUUAGCCCAUUUUGGCCCGCCACUUAAUCCCAACAGGAUGGUGACCGAGCAGUACAGAGUGAAAAUACAAUUCUGUUGGAACACUUACAGAGCGCACCCUUGGAAAAUAAUUUUUCAUUGAGUUACUCAUCGUAAAGAGUAUAUUUUUUACUAAAUCUUGUACUCACUCUCACCAACUGAGUUGAUUUUAAUUUUAAUUCAAAGAACAGGGCACUUAUGAGAAGGGAAGGGAAUAUUUAGCAUCUUCCAUUUCAUUGUCUUUUAAAGCUUUCCUAGGUGUGAAUUCUCUUGAUUCAUCCUUCAAUAUACAGAGCCCUUGCCUUCUGAUUUGUGAGUGGAAUCUGGCCAAAUCUGAUGAGCAUUUCCUUUGACAUUUUGCUACUUAAAAAAAAAUGUAUGACUUUGCCAAACGGCAGGUCUCCACACCCCUAGCUGUGCCUGCAGAAGAGAAAGGGGGCCAAGCACUAUGGGAAGAAAUGCCUUCCUGGACACGGCAUGGAAAAACCACAGCGGAGGGUAAGAACCUGCCAGGUGACUCAAGAAAAGCAGAGCUGCAGAGGCUGAGAGGCACCUAGUCUUCCUUCUCCCUGCACCCAUUCUCCCCAGCAUACCCCCAGGUCAGACUCUGCCCCCAUCCUGGCUGCUGAAGGAGCUGGACCUUUCUGGAAGAGCAUGAGGGAAAAAGGAGGUUGAGGGGGUGAUCUUGGAGGUCUGUGAAGGCGUACCCCUGAAGACUCUAGAAUCUACUUAAAUGCACAGACCUCCACGGGGAGGUCAUGGAUGAGCCCUAUGACCAGAAACACAACAGAUUCGUGCAACUCUGUUUUUUGAGCUGAGACAGAAUCAACAGAGAAUGGCAGCCCAUUGAGAUAUUUACAGCCAAGUUCAGAACCAGGAAGGAGAAGCAUAAGAGAGAAGGAAGUGAAUUCUGGGCAGCACAGACUCCAAGGACCUCUAUCCACGCCCUGUUUCUGGGAAGUCCCGUUAUUUAGCAAUAUACUCCUCGUGGCCCACUCCACAUCUGGCUUUCAUUAAGUCAGUCCUUAGGGGAAGAUGAUGCAGAGUACUCUUCAGAGUAUCUUCAUGAUCAGGUCCAAAAACAAAAAAAAAUCUCACCCACUGAUAAUUCUGCAGAAGCCCACCCGAUUUACGAGACGAGAGUGUGUGAGAUGGACUCAGGCUGACCCUUUACAAGGAGAAAUGAAACUAAGCAGAAACAAUCUGCACGCUUACGUCCUAGAGAGCAUUUGUUUCUUACUUUUCCCAAAACGAAAGGUAAAAGAAAACGUUUGCAUGAAGGUAGUCCGUGGGACUGAGCCGGUAUAGAAAGUCAUUUGUCAGCUUUGGGAGGUGUAUUUUGUUCAUGAUAUUCAAACUGGAAUUUUAAUAGGUAGCCACCUCUCUCCGGAGUACAAAAUUUUUGAAUGCAAUACAGAAAAUUUCCUGAAUGCAUUUCUUUCCUUGAACAACUUUUAUAGUCAUUGGCUCGUCUUGGAUUAAAAUUCAAACCCACAUCUCCUGCCCUCUCCUUCCAGUUUCAAGACCUAAAGUGACCAGAUAGGAAGCACUAAAGAUAUUGGAUGUGGACCACCACAAGAUAUUUUCUUCACAAAUAACUAUAAAAUGCAGAUAAGAUGAUAAAAAAAAAAUGCACAGGUCAUAGUUUUUAGAUUUCGUCCCCAAGAGAACAGAUUCUUGAAAAAAAAAAUUUGAAAAAUAAAAACCACAGGCUCUGCAAAGUAUGAACAGUUACAUCACUGCAUAAUUCCUGUGCGCCAGUCAUAUCGUCUUUUUUACACACGCAACUGCACACGCACAUACACGCAAUCUGUGGUUCUAAUGGAGCACGUUCAGAUCAAACUUAUAAAGUUGAGUCUAUGAGAAAUACCCAGAUAUCACAGUAGGAACACACGCUAGAAGGUCACAUAAAAUCUACAACGGAACAAUUUUUCAUAACUUCCUACUGUGCAGUAGAUUUCCAGUUGCUUAAAUAACUCAGGGUCCAUGAAUUUCUCCAACCUCUUUAUAUACAUCCGGGCGUGGAUAACGGUGGAAAUGUCCUCAUCUCAUCAAGAAGACGCUUCUUCAGGUCUGCUUAUGAGCAGUUCCUCAUCCCAGGCAGGCUCAAA